GCUGGGCGUGAUGGCUCAUGCCUGUAAUCCCAGCACUUUGGGAGGCUGAGGUGGGUGGAUCACCUGAGGUCAGGAGUUUGAGACCAGCCUGACCAACAUGGUGAAACCCCAUCUCUA
This 117-nucleotide signal recognition particle RNA is filed under the name Chlorocebus sabaeus (green monkey). Its description in RNAcentral is "Metazoan signal recognition particle RNA". It matches the Rfam family "Metazoan signal recognition particle RNA". From Rfam's summary of the family: The signal recognition particle (SRP) is a universally conserved ribonucleoprotein. It is involved in the co-translational targeting of proteins to membranes. Lineage: Eukaryota; Metazoa; Chordata; Mammalia; Primates; Cercopithecidae. The record is from Rfam by way of RNAcentral.